GGUCACUCCUGUCCCCUCACAGCCGGCUCUGCCCCUCCGCACCGCCUGAACACUUAAUUUUCACCGCCUCCUUGCCAGAUCCACGACAAACACCCUCAAGCCCUCCACACUACGGCUCCCAGCCGGGCUGAUCCUUGCACCCUCAUCCCACCGGUACCUAUUUUGGCCUCCUCCUUUCUGGUCACACCCCCCACAUGUAGCUCACAGGCUAACCCUAAAAAGCCUCCCUGUUCCCUGCACCAUACACACACUCUUUUUAAAAAUCUUUUCCCUCCCAUCGUUGCCUGCCUCCAACUCUCACUCCAAAUUGCCCCCAGAGCGCAGCUCACACAUAAUGGACUUUAUUCUUCCCCAAAUCCUCGAGGCAAUCAGUCACACGCCAUCCACUGCUGCCUUCCUAAAUCGGAAAAGACAGAAACCACAAAAUUAUCAGCUUUGUACAAUCGCUUGUUUCUCUGCAUGGCAACAGCAGGAGUCAGCAAGCUGGGAGGAAGGAGGUGUGCUGCAAGUAAUUGUGAUUUGCACUCCCUGCAGCCCAGGAGAGGUGUCCGGGUAAUCAGCCCCAUGUAGUGACACUUCUUGACAUACUGAGACUGCUUGAUCUGGCUCUCACCUACAGGUGAUGAGCAAAGCACAGCCCCACCAGCCUCGGGAUCUGACCCUGUACAGCCUUCACCCCAGUGACAGGGCCUCAGGCCAGGCCUCAACUUGCUCCUGUGAUGGAGGAUGAAAGCCAGUAAAAAAAUUACAGCUAUCCAUGUGAACAGCAGUACUUCAGUAAGUCUGCGAGACAAGUGCCAAGUGAAGCAGAGAAGCGAAUACAACAGAAAGAACGUUUCCCUCUGGCAGUCUCUGUCUUUAAUUCCAAAAUAACAGUUGUGCAGCCAAGGUUUAACAAAAUGGUUGAGCUAAUCCCUGCUGUCCACAGGUGACUGUUCACCUGCUCCAUCACAGGUCCUUGUUUGACAUC
Corapipo altera (White-ruffed manakin) is the source of this 970-nucleotide long non-coding RNA. RefSeq lists it as uncharacterized. The record is from RefSeq and is a predicted model, not a curated record. Lineage: Eukaryota; Metazoa; Chordata; Aves; Passeriformes; Pipridae. The transcript is spliced from 3 exons.